GUAGUACCUGAGGCAGUGAGGUAACAGACAAGGAGGGGACAGCUGGCCACGGGGGGACACAGAGUGGGCAGCUCGCUGGCGGCACACACUGCCGAGAUCAGAGGAUCCUUUCAGCACAGUUGCAGCAAAGCCGGUGAAGGGAUGGAGAGGGGAAAAUUGUCAAAGAAAACGACCAAAUGUCUCUGAAGUUCUGAAGAGGGAAUUGAGUGCUAGGCUGAAAGGGUCUGCCAAUGAUUGAUAUCAACACUGAAAAAAGAAACACUGAAAUACAACUUGGUGAAGAUUUUUUAAUUUCAAGAAAGAGACCCUGGCAAUCUAAGGGGGGCAAAGGACCCAGGAACAACUGUAACGCUAAACGUAUACUGAAACCACUGCAGGCACCUAAAUCCAAAAGAUCCAUCAGUCACGUGUGUCACAGCAAGCUUGGCUGG
Molecule: long non-coding RNA, 431 nt
Organism: Bubalus bubalis (water buffalo)
Lineage: Eukaryota; Metazoa; Chordata; Mammalia; Artiodactyla; Bovidae
Exons: 3
Source: RefSeq, a predicted model, not a curated record